RNAcentral lists this non-coding RNA (27 nucleotides) under Homo sapiens (human). The record is from RNAcentral. Lineage: Eukaryota; Metazoa; Chordata; Mammalia; Primates; Hominidae.
UAAGACAGACUGUCAGGGCUUUUGAAA